UUUGCUUCUAAUUGAUGGUAGCUUAAACUGAGCCCAGUUGAACCCUUUGCCACUGCAGAAGUAUGUGAAUACAAAUUUUAUUUCAUAAUUUACAGUCCAACACUUGCUCAACCAUAGCUAUCAUGAAUUCAUCUCCUCUAAAAUGGUCAGUGUCCUCAUUGCUAAUAGUAGUGCUUUUCUUCUCUCAUUACAAUGCAACUGUUAGUGAUUUGAUUCCUGUCACAUUAGACUCAGUUGCUUGGUCGUGCUUAAGUUUUUUUUUUUAAAAAAAAGUCUGCUUCGGCAUGAACGAAUCCAAAAAAGAGUUUGAUAAUACUAACUCAAAUGGAAUUGCAUUAUAUUAGCUCCAUAUGGGGUGGGAUUAAGCUUAGUCCAAAAGAGACUCUGUAUGAUAGCAUACCAGCCAUGCCAAUGGUAGGUAUAUCUAUAAGGUAAAAACUGUACCUGCCACCUUUCGCGCUAUCCACUAGAAUCCAGUCAACUAGAGAAGACUCCUCAUUAGAGAUAGAGUUCAAAAGGCCUCCCUCUUCAUCUGCAUGAAGUACGUAUACUAAAGGUCUCUCUCUGACUAAAACUGGAAAAGCAUCUCGAGAAUCAUUUCCAUGAAGCUGCUCAAUUUGAACAUGUUGUGGAUUUUGAGUAUUGAAAACAAUAGAUACAAGAUGGUGAAAGAUAACAGUCUUCACCUGCACCAAUUCAAGGUUUGCUGCAUCAGAGGCCCUUAGUAUUGUGUUAGCAUUAUCAUCUACAAACACCCCAACUGGAAGAGCUCCAUAUUCCCGCGCAACCUUUGAGAUUUCCUUUGCAGUAGAAAGUGAAACAGAGCGCUUUGAGUUGGGCCAUAUGAUCAUACCAAUAAAAUUGGCUCCAGCUUCUGCUGCAAGAGCAGCAUCUCUAGCUGAUGUAAUUCCACACAUUUUGACUAAAGUCCUACUUUCUGUUUGUGCUGCUUGAGCCGAGACUCCUGUUGACUGAUUUAAUGUGCACAUAAAUCUGUUGCUGGUGGAAGUCCUCAGUUGUGCUCUAUUUAUAGAAUAUACUUCUACAUCCAAUACACCUGUAAGAAUAAGAUUUGGAUGUAUCAGUUCUAAUAUAUUCUACUUUAACCACCAGAUCUGUGAACAUGUUUUAAAAGAAUCUCAAGGAAAAAUCAUUACUUCUAAAACGCCGAUCAAUUGCAAAUUUGCAUCAUUCCACUUAUUGUUGAUAAGAAUUAGAAUAAGAGAAGGUUAAAAAGGAAAACUUUUCUCUGUAAGAUUAAAAAGAACUCGAGAAAAAUGCAGUGGCUAAGCAAGCAAUCAAAAUCCAAAGCUUAACUCUAGAAUUGUCAGGUGUAAGCUUCCUAUCCCAGUCCUGGUUGACUUCUCUUUUUUUCUUGUGUGAAAAAAUUAAAAGAACAAAUAGAAUAAGUAAUAAUUGUGUUCUCAUUGGUCUUUAGAUCACGUGUUUUCUUAAGAGAACCCCAAGUUCUCAAAAUUCCCAACUUAUUAUCUUCUGAAGCUACAAAUUAUUUCUUAAAAACUGUUGCUCUCUUUCUUCUUGUUUUUUUCUUACAAUUAUCUUUUAGGGUGGGGAUACUAUAAUGCAAAGAAUGUCCAUAUAAUCCAAACUUUCACUUACCUUGACUUCUGGGAAGGCCUAUUACUCUUGGUUGAAGCUGAGCUCCCAUGUUGAACACUGAAAAACACAGAACUAUGGCUAAGACUUGAGUAAAUAGUGACAUGAUCUAACACAAUGUUAUGUGCUCUUAUGCCACUCAAACAAAUCAUUAAACAAGCAGGACCUUGGAAAUUGAAAGAAGUAGAUCUCUGAGAUUAUUGAACAAAUUUUAGCUGCUGAAUAACAGCUCUUAAAAAAAGCAAACAUCAUACUGGCACGUCUACUGGGGCUUACGAUUGUUUCUUUGUUUGUAUAAAAAUAGGAAGAGCCUUCAGGGUGAUGAUUGCAUUUUGAUAGAAAUCCAAAGAUCUAUUGCCCACUGUUUUUCUGGUGCAUGUUGCACUGAGGAACACACCACAUCUCUAUAAACUGAAAUCUAUUAGUCUCUGGAUGAGACGACACUUGUAUUGUUAGUUGUAAUAAGACUAAUGGCAGAUAACACAAUGAAGACAAUGUCUAGUUUGCUACAGAAAGGAAAGCAGGGGAAUGCAAGGAACUAAAUGUGAAGCUGACUUAGAGAAAAAGCUUAUGCAGAAAGUUCUCUAUUCUGUAAAAAGAACCAGAAAAUACAUAAACAUUCAAUUGAAGUUGUCUAUUAACUGAUACACUCUUGGUGCUCUGGCCUAUAAGAAAAGGUGCAUGUGUAAAGAUGGAUGAAGAAAAAUAUAAGUAAAGAAGAACCUGAGAGCAUCCUUCCUUCUUAAUUCUAUUCUACCACUAUUGUGAUACUCGAGAGAGGAGAGAUACCGCGAAAUAGUCCUGCUACUCAUCAAAUAAAGGAACUGGUCAAACAGAGGAAUUGCUAAUUGCUAAUACAUUCUAAUAACUAGACUAGUCAGCUUAUGCUAGCUAGUCAACAAAGAAACCUUUUAAAACUGACAAUUCACAAACAAGCAACUAAAAUCCAAGAAGCUGGAAAGCAACAUUGACCAACAAAUCAUGGAGAUAUCCAGAGUAUUUCACUACAUGAUUAAAUUCUAGAAUGAGUACAACAUAAAUAUAAACAUAUGAUAUCUUAUGUCUGUUCAGAAUCUAAAGAGUAGUUUGGUUUGGGUUUUAGAAGAGCUAGUAAUAUAAGAAUAAGUUAAAAACAACAACAAACCUAGUGGAAUCCCACAAAGUGGGGCCUGAGAAGAUAGAGUGUAUGCAAGCCUUACCACUACUUCUAUGAGGUAGAGAGGGUGUUUCCGAAUGACCCUCGGCUCAAGCAAAUCAAAGUAGUAAUUAAACGAAAAGCAUGACAACUAAUAGGAAAAAGUGUGGAGCAUAUAUGCAAGGAACCAUAACUAUAACAGCAAGACGAAGUCACUAAAACAGAGUAAACCACAUAUGAUAUCACAUAGAAAAAACCAAAGACAACAUGAAUAUGCUAAUACUACGACCGACAUGGAGCUAUAAACUCCCACCCAACCAAAGACAUGAAUAGAUAAGUAAUAUGACAACUCUCAACUACCUACUAGCCUUCUAUCUUUUCUACGACCGCCAUAUCCUCUUAUCUAAGGUCAUGUCCUCGAUUAGCUGAAGAUGCGUCAUAUCUUGCCUAAUUGCCUCUCCCCAAUAUUUUUUUAACCUGCCUCUACCUCUCCUCGACCCCACUAUAUCCAACCUCUCACACCUCCUUACCGGCAGGAGUGUUCAAAACUGAACCGUAACCGAUAAGCCAACCACAAAAUUGGCUUAUUGGUAAUAAGGUUGGAUAUACAGUUGGUGAAUGGAUUAAUAUUUUAUAAUUAACGGCUUAUUGGGGGGGGGGAUCACUUAAUUUUCUUAUUGGGUAAACCAUUAACCCGUUAUGAGAUAUCAUACUUGCACUUUUACCAAAGAUAUAUAAACUAAUAAGAAUAUAUAAUACUACAACAGGUGAUCAAUGCGUGAUAACAACAUAUGGAUCAUGUCUCGAAACAUUUGAUGGCAUCUAUCAAGUGUGUUAACAACUAAAUAUAAUUGCUAAAAGGCACUUAAAUCAACGCUAACAGAAUUUUGUUGAGCAAAUAUUAUAGUAAUUAGGUAAGAUAUUGAGAGAGCGCAUAGCUAAUAUGAUCAGACGGCAAAGCAGGUUGCAAGGGCGGACAAAAGAAAACUGACAACUGAUUGAGCAAGUCUGUCACCCGCUGUUCACAAAGGAGAAAAAAUCAAAUUUGAUCCUAGAUAUAUACCACAUAACAUUAAUAGCCCCAUAACAUUUGCAAAAAGUAAAAAUAUUUUUAGUCCAAACCUGAAAACUAACAGACCUCUCCAAGCUUUCUGUUAAAAAUUAAAAUCGUCAGAAAUACUCAGGAGUAUUUCACGUGAUAUGCUAACAGUCAAAACAAAGAAACAGUUCAUUUUCACCACCUGGUGGAGAUAUCAUCUCAGCCAAUCAUUUGGACCCAAAAUCAAUCCAAAAUCCUAACAUUAGAUAGUGAUGUUCAUUAGAGGAAUAGUGGAGUAUAAUCAACUCUUUGUUAUGGUAAGAAUCUAUUUUCCUUUUACAUUUCACAUUGUAUGAUUUUAUAUUGUUCUACUAUAUACUUUUGACUGCUAUGCACUAUUUUCUGUCAAUAUUGAUUACCAAAAAUGUUAUCUUCUGUCUGAACUCCCUCACUCUCCUGAGAUUGUGCUUGGUUGUUUUGCUUUUUCUUUUAUGUUGUAAUUUUGUUUAUGCUAAUUUUUCUUUAUAGCUACACUGAUCUUUUCUUCAUAUCUUGACAGAAUUUUAAAUUCUGUUUUUAUUUUAUUGAUACAGAAUAGUGGUCCUAAAGACAAUUUUAAGUUUUUGACUUAGAUAUUGAUGAUCGAGCGGAUGGACCUUAAUGUCUAACUGAAGAAUUUAGUACGGUUAUGUCAUCUGUCAGCCAUAGAUUCUGUCUGAGACACCUCCACAACAAUGUUAAGAGGCAGAGACAGGACGAGAUGAUACCUUUAUCUCAUCUUACAUUGUGGACAUCAAACAUGGUCAUAUUUGAUGCUACUCUUAUUCUAUUUUGCUGUCAAUUGAUGUUACAAGAUGGCUUUACAGAUCAAGUAGUAGUCAUUUUGUUAUGUGCAGGCUGGAAUAGCUCCUAAUGAGUUGCAGCCAGUGGGUAGUGUUUUAAGUGAUGGUUGUUGAUGUGAAGUUGGUGUUUCAUUUUUGAUGGUAUCUUUGGUUAUAUAGAAGUGUAAAGUCAGUUCCGUUGCUGCAGAUUUUUAACAUUUUGCUUUGUAAACAAUUUUAAUGUAUUUUGCUGGUGUAUUUCAAUGUAUUUUGCUGCCUCGUGUUAAAGCUUAUAUGCAUCUACUAUACAGCAAUGAAGCUGACUAUUUUUGACAUAUAUUGCACCGUACCAAAGGAUGUAGGAAGCCCAUUUUAGUUGCAUUUUAAUAUUCUUCAGUUGACCAGAAAUGUUGUAGAAUAUAGCUAGCAGCCUAAAAAACUGUUCUUGAUUCAAUGGUCAUUACUGUACUGAAGAUUUUGUUCUCUCCUUUUUGCUACCAAUACUGUCUCCA
Molecule: long non-coding RNA, 5124 nt
Filed under: Solanum lycopersicum (tomato)
Lineage: Eukaryota; Viridiplantae; Streptophyta; Magnoliopsida; Solanales; Solanaceae
Description: long non-coding RNA (SLYC_LNC000319)
Source: RNAcentral